RNAcentral lists this ribosomal RNA (497 nucleotides) under uncultured bacterium. RNAcentral's name for it is "partial 16S ribosomal RNA". It matches the Rfam family "Bacterial small subunit ribosomal RNA", at positions 28 to 507 of the family's 1533-position model. The record is from RNAcentral.
GAUGAACGCUGGCGGCGUGCCUAAUACAUGCAAGUCGAGCGAACAGACGAGGAGCUUGCUCCUCUGACGUUAGCGGCGGACGGGUGAGUAACACGUGGAUAACCUACCUAUAAGACUGGGAUAACUUCGGGAAACCGGAGCUAAUACCGGAUAAUAUAUUGAGCCGCAUGGUUCAAUAGUGAAAGACGGUUUUGCUGUCACUUAUAGAUGGAUCCGCUCCGCAUUAGCUAGUUGGUAAGGUAACGGCUUACCAAGGCAACGAUGCGUAGCCGACCUGAGAGGGUGAUCGGCCACACUGGAACUGAGACAAGGUCCAGACUCCUACGGGAGGCAGCAGUAGGGAAUCUUCCGCAAUGGGCGAAAGCCUGACGGAGCAACGCCGCGUGAGUGAUGAAGGUCUUCGGAUCGUAAAACUCUGUUAUUAGGGAAGAACAAAUGUGUAAGUAACUAUGCACGUCUUGACGGUACCUAAUCAGAAAGCCACGGCUAACUACGUG